This 253-nucleotide ribosomal RNA is filed under the name uncultured bacterium. Its description in RNAcentral is "partial 16S ribosomal RNA". It matches the Rfam family "Bacterial small subunit ribosomal RNA", at positions 524 to 776 of the family's 1533-position model. The record is from RNAcentral.
UACAGAGGUGGCAAGCGUUGUUCGGAAUUACUGGGCGUAAAGGGCGCGUAGGCGGUCCCGUCAGUCCCUUGUGAAAUCCCCGGGCUCAACCCGGGAACUGCGUCCGAGACUGGCGGGCUUGAAUCCGGGAGAGGGAUGCGGAAUUCCAGGUGUAGCGGUGAAAUGCGUAGAUAUCUGGAGGAACACCGGUGGCGAAGGCGGCAUCCUGGACCGGCAUUGACGCUGAGGCGCGAAAGCCAGGGGAGCAAACGGG